UUAAAAAUCCCAUAACUCUGGAUAUUAAAUAGCAUAAAACUAAAUAAUCAAUAGAUUAAAAAGAAGCUCACAAAAUAUUGAACAGAAUAAACUGAAGGCAUUUAAUCCAAAAUAUAUGAACAUAGCUAAAGUAAUAGAGGGAAAUUUAUAAAUCUAAAUAAAUUUAUCACGAAUGAAUAAAGAUUGAAAACUAAAGAGCCAAAUGUUUAAUUCAAGAAGAAGAAGAAAAAUCAGAACACACUAAAGAUAUUAGAAAUAAGGAAAUAUUAAGGGCAGGAACCAAAGUAAAGAACAUGAAAAACAGUAAUACUGAAGUGGCGUCGUUUGGGGAAAUACCCAAGGUUCGUUGUCUUGCACUAAGGAAAUCGAAGAUGCGGACACACAAGGUGUGAGUUUAAAAGCAGAAGUUUAAUAGGUGAAAGAAAGGAGAGAGAGUUUCCUUUCGCAGAGGAAGGCCCGAGCGGGUUUCUGGGUUUAGGGUGAGAUGCGGUUGGUUUUACAGACGAACUUGAGGAGGCAGUGUCUGAUUUACAUAGGGCGUAGUGGAUUGGUUGGACCAGGUGGGUCAUUUACAUAGGCUGUGACGAGCUGGCCAAACCACCCUAACUUUUUAUUAUGCAAAUGGAGUCUUUACCUGGCCAGCGCCAUGUUAUCUGAACACGCGGAGACAAAGGGAAGAGGAAACCUCCAUGUUGAAUACACUUGGCUUCCAGCACCGUCUAGCCGAAGUUUAUUGUUAACAUGGCUCUUCCAUGAGAAAAGGGAGCCUGUUGGUAAGAUUACCUGAAAAGGACUGCUGUGUUGCAUCAUUGGAAGCACUUUUUGACUUUAUACAGGUAAUUCUUGGCUAAAAUAAAAUGAUAUUUAAAAAAAAAAAAGAAAAGUACAUAGUACACUUGCUGCUCUCCCCCGCUUAGCCCUAAUGCAGGCAUUCCUAAUCCGUAGCUCUGUGCCUUUCCUCUGACUCACGGCUUCACAACCCUUCUCAGUACCAUACCCCAGACAGGUACCACCAAUCAGAGUUGAUGUGAAACCUCUUUGCCGUUCCUGAUCUUAUCCAUUGGAUCUGCAAACGGGUUUCGAUUUUGCUUUUCUAGCUCUGAACUUUGUGCCUUUUCCAGAGUGAUUCUAGGGAUCAGCCUUCCAGCUUCAUACACAACAGCCUAAGGCAUCUACAGCUGCUAGACCAGUCUAUGCCUCAUUGUCAUGGAGCCUGCUUCGGCCACACGCAGUGCCUGCUCAACAGAGGCAGAGAUAUGCAUAGUUGUUGUGUGCAGGAGCUGAUUUAUUAAGAAGUCCAACUGGCCGGAGUCCCCAAGAGAAACUCUCUUUGGGAACAGUGGGUACUGUUGACUGCUCGGAUAUGUCAUUGUUUGGGAGGUCUUUAGUCUUUUCUGUCAGUCUGAACACCCUCAAGUGGGGAAGUGACCUCUGAUCAUUGGAUACUUUCCUAAGGGGAGUAGCAACAGUCUACAGGCAUUCCUCCUGUGGUUAUUCUGACAGUGGUAGACUUAAACCAGGUAGAGAGGUCUUGCAUUCUAUCUGGUGGAGUGUGUGACACAGAAACAGUUAUGGAAACAAAAGCUUUUACCCUACUUUCCCACCCAUCAGGAAGAGCACUGACUUUUUAAAAAUAUUUCCCCUUGCAAAUCCUCAGUCUCAGAAGCAGAGCAAUCAAUUAUGUUGUCAACACAAAUAGACCUCGUAAAAUUCAAAGUUAAAGUCACUUCUGACAGCUUCUUAGCCUGUAAAAUGAGGGGGUUAGAUCAGAUAAUCUCUAAAGGUCUUUCCAUCUUUCACAGCUUAUGACUUUAUGGCUUUGGUCAACAAUAUAAAACAAGGGCAAAAGGCAAAAGAAAAGAAAAGAAAAGGCCCUAAAACUUAGCACAGGCUCUGGAGAAUCUACAGGCAUUUCAAAAAGACAGUUAACUUGAAACGUAGGGAGCCCAAAUGAAUUCUGAAAUAGAGUAGAACAAUGAGAACGUGCUUGUAAAAUGUGUCACCAGCCACUGCCUUCCAACUGGCUGUGGGGCCUUUCCAGCACAGGCUGGUAUCUGCCUGAUAAGUAUCAUUCUUUGUUAAUGUAGCCAUGGUUUGUCAUGUUUGCCAAAGGCUGGAAGAAAAUUGAGCCAAGAGCUGGAAGCCAGAAGUUCCCCAUGCCUGCCCUACACAUCCAGGCUCUGAGUUUUUACUUUUUCUACUAUAUUGCGAUGCAAGUUAACUUUGCUUCUCUGUUCUCUGUCACUGAGAAAUACCACGUCUCCAUGGCAAUAGGAAUGCAUUUACCUUCACCAAACCUGCUCAAAUCCUUUCUGAAGAGGACGUAGCAGGAGUUGCCUUUCCGAUGGUGGAGGUUCAGAGUACAACCUGCAGCCACAGAGAAACGUUGCUUGUUCCUGAAAUGCAGACACACCUCCAAUCCAGAAGACAAGUCAUCUCGUGGAGGAAGUGGUAGCUGUAAAAAUUCAAAUGGAAAAGGCACAGGCAAGAAACAAAUUUUUUGAAAAGUUUGCCUUAAGUUUGGCACAGAAUUUGGGACCAUUGCUUUGGCAAUUAGUGACUCUCAGAGGGGAACAGAAGCCUCCGGGAUGGGUGAGGUGGCUCAUGGAAAACAAGUGUGUGCAGGGCGGAGAGGAGAGGACCAGGACAGAAGGCAAGGAGUUAGGGGCGGGGGGGGGGGGGGUGCUGUUCUGGGUCUGUUCCUAACAGGCAUGCUUUUUCCAGUCUUUUCAUGACCUCAUAAACCUUCACUUGGGCUGGUGGAGUGUUGCAUUUCUUCAUUUAGUCAUUGAAUCAUCCAUUCCUCACUUACUCACCUGCUCAUUCAUUCAGAAAGUCUUUAUUCCACACCUACCAUGUACCAAAUAUUGUAUUUGGCACCAGUUCACUCAGAUGAAUAGGGCAUGGGCCCUGCCCACCAGGGCUCAGAGCCUGGGUUGAAGAGGUGGGUGACUAAACAGGCAAAUGCAAUUCAAUAUAGUACGUGCCUCUUUGGAGUAAGCAUGGAUGUGGUGGGAGCACAGCAGAGAGGCAGCGAAGCCCACCUCGGGGAGGAGGCACAGUGGGCUUUUGAAAGGAGGGUCUGCCUGAAGGCUGCUGAAAGGUGUGGUGUUAUUUUUUAUGUUUUGCUUUUUUGUAAGAGACAGGAUCUCAUUGUAUUGCCCAGGCUGGAGUGCAGUGACUAUUCACAGGCGUGAUCAUGGCUCACUGCAGCCUCAAACUCCUGGCCUCAAGUGAUCCUCUUGCUUCAGUCCCACGAGUGGCUGGGACUCUGAUGAGGCACCAGAGGUCUGGAGUUUACCGAAGCCACUUGCUCUGAAGCAUUUUGAAAAGUUUGUCCUGGUUUUCGUGACUUGAGCAGAGACCCAGCUGCCUCAUCACACCACCGGGUUUCUCAGAAGGAGGAUCCAUGGCGGACGAGACGGGGUCUGGUCAGAGGCUAGUGGCACAGGAGGGGCAUGGGCCAGAACUGCUCCCAUGAGCUGGAAGAUGUGACAAGUACUAGUGUCAAUAUCAAGAGCAGGGAGGUUGGGAGUGGUUGUGGAUUUUAGCAGAUACAUCCACUCCUUCAUUCAUUCUAUUUAUUCAAUAAAAGGUUCUGCUGAAGACUCAGCAGCAAAAACAAACAAGCAAACAAAA
Molecule: long non-coding RNA, 3639 nt
Organism: Macaca mulatta (Rhesus monkey)
Lineage: Eukaryota; Metazoa; Chordata; Mammalia; Primates; Cercopithecidae
Source: RefSeq, a predicted model, not a curated record